CGCCCUUAGAGUUUGAUCAUGGCUCAGGACGAACGCUGGCGGCGUGCUUAACACAUGCAAGUCGAACGGGAAGAAACCUCGGUUGAAAGAGUGGCGAACGGGCGAGUAACGCGUGAGCAACCUGCCUAUGACAGUGGGAUAGCCUCGGGAAACCGGGAUUAAUACCGCAUAAAAUCGUAAACACAUGUUCAACGGUCAAAGAUUUAUCGGUCAUAGAUGGGCUCGCGUCUGAUUAGCUAGUUGGUGAGAUAACAGCCCACCAAGGCGACGAUCAGUAGCCGGUCUGAGAGGAUGAACGGCCACAUUGGAACUGAGACACGGUCCAAACUCCUACGGGAGGCAGCAGUGGGGAAUAUUGCACAAUGGGGGAAACCCUGAUGCAGCGACGCCGCGUGAACGAAGAAGGUAUUCGUAUCGUAAAGUUCUGUCCUAUGGGAAGAUAAUGACAGUACCAUAGAAGAAAGCUCCGGCUAAAUACGUGCCAGCAGCCGCGGUAAUACGUAUGGAGCGAGCGUUGUCCGGAAUUAUUGGGCGUAAAGGGUACGCAGCGGUUUAAUAAGUCGAAUGUUAAAGAUCGGGGCUCAACCCCGUAAAGCAUUGGAAACUGAUAAACUUGAGUAGUGGAGAGGAAAGUGGAAUUCCUAGUGUAGUGGUGAAAUACGUAGAUAUUAGGAGGAAUACCAGUAGCGAAGCGACUUUCUGGAC
RNAcentral lists this ribosomal RNA (705 nucleotides) under uncultured Finegoldia sp. RNAcentral's name for it is "bacterial SSU rRNA". It matches the Rfam family "Bacterial small subunit ribosomal RNA", at positions 1 to 734 of the family's 1533-position model. Lineage: Bacteria; Bacillati; Bacillota; Tissierellia; Tissierellales; Peptoniphilaceae. The record is from RNAcentral.